CCUACGGGUGGCAGCAGUGGGGAAUAUUGGACAAUGGGGGAAACCCUGAUCCAGCGACGCCGCGUGAGGGAAGAAGGAUUUCGGUACGUAAAGCCCUAUCAGUAGGGAAGAAAAUGACGGUACCUGACUAAUAAGCACCGGCUAACUCCGUGCCAGCAGCCGCGGUAAUACGUAGGGGGCAAGCGUUAUCCGGAUUCACUGGGUGUAAAGGGAGCGUAGGCGGCAGCGAAAGUCUGGAGUGAAAUGCCGGGGCCCAACCCCGGAACUGCACUUGAAACUGUGACGCUGGAGUGUAGGAGAGGUAAGUGGAAUUCUUGGUGUAGCGGUGAAAUGCGUAGAGAUCAAGAGGAACA
RNAcentral lists this ribosomal RNA (353 nucleotides) under uncultured bacterium. RNAcentral's name for it is "partial 16S ribosomal RNA". It matches the Rfam family "Bacterial small subunit ribosomal RNA", at positions 338 to 708 of the family's 1533-position model. The record is from RNAcentral.